AAUGGCCGCGGUAUUUUGACCGUGCGAAGGUAGCAUAAUCAUUAGUCUAUUAAUUGUAGACUGGUAUGAAUGGCUUGAUGGGUAACUGCUGUUUCUAUUUUAAAAAUGAAUUUUAGGUUUUUGUGAAGACGCUAAAAUAAAACUAAAAGACGAGAAGACCCUAUUAAGCUUUACACAAGGUAUUUUGGAAUGUUGAUAAUUAUAUAGUGUUAUGUUGGGGCGACAAUAAAAUUAAAGAACUUUUGUUGAUAAUUUAAUAUUUUAAGUAUAUUGAAAUGUAUGAUCCAUAGUUUGUGAUUAUAAGAAUAAGUUACUAUAGGGAUAACAGCGUAAUAUUAUUGGAGAGCUCAUAUUGAUAAUAAAGAUUGCGACCUCGAUGUUGAAUUAGGAUUCCUUUAAGGUGCAGCCGUUUUAG
This 415-nucleotide ribosomal RNA is filed under the name Paralamyctes subicolus. RNAcentral's name for it is "partial 16S ribosomal RNA". It matches the Rfam family "Bacterial large subunit ribosomal RNA", at positions 1926 to 2567 of the family's 2925-position model. Lineage: Eukaryota; Metazoa; Arthropoda; Chilopoda; Lithobiomorpha; Henicopidae. The record is from RNAcentral.